RNAcentral lists this ribosomal RNA (558 nucleotides) under uncultured bacterium. Its description in RNAcentral is "partial 16S ribosomal RNA". It matches the Rfam family "Bacterial small subunit ribosomal RNA", at positions 355 to 905 of the family's 1533-position model. The record is from RNAcentral.
UGGGGAAUUUUGGACAAUGGGGGCAACCCUGAUCCAGCAAUGCCGCGUGUGUGAAGAAGGCCUUCGGGUUGUAAAGCACUUUUGUCCGGAAAGAAAACGCCGUGGUUAAUACCCGUGGCGGAUGACGGUACCGGAAGAAUAAGCACCGGCUAACUACGUGCCAGCAGCCGCGGUAAUACGUAGGGUGCAAGCGUUAAUCGGAAUUACUGGGCGUAAAGCGUGCGCAGGCGGUCCGCUAAGACAGAUGUGAAAUCCCCGGGCUUAACCUGGGAACUGCAUUUGUGACUGGCGGGCUAGAGUAUGGCAGAGGGGGGUAGAAUUCCACGUGUAGCAGUGAAAUGCGUAGAGAUGUGGAGGAAUACCGAUGGCGAAGGCAGCCCCCUGGGCCAAUACUGACGCUCAUGCACGAAAGCGUGGGGAGCAAACAGGAUUAGAUACCCUGGUAGUCCACGCCCUAAACGAUGUCAACUAGUUGUCGGGUCUUCAUUGACUUGGUAACGUAGCUAACGCGUGAAGUUGACCGCCUGGGGAGUACGGUCGCAAGAUUAAAAACUCAAA